UCGUCAGGUAGGAUAAUCCUUACCUGUUCCUCCUUCGGGAGGGCAGAUUGGAACAUGAUGAUUGGAGCUCGCAUGAUUCGUGAUUAACGUCUCUGCGUGGCCGGGACUUGCAACACCCUGGUCGCUCCUAUCUGAU
Ailuropoda melanoleuca (giant panda) is the source of this 136-nucleotide small nucleolar RNA. Its record names the gene U8. It matches the Rfam family "U8 small nucleolar RNA". Rfam says of the family: U8 is a member of the C/D class of snoRNA which contain the C (UGAUGA) and D (CUGA) box motifs. U8 is the RNA component of a small complex (the U8 snoRNP) which is required for accumulation of mature large subunit ribosomal RNAs, 5.8S and 28S rRNAs. U8 RNA has been identified in human, mouse, rat and Xenopus. The record is from Ensembl. Lineage: Eukaryota; Metazoa; Chordata; Mammalia; Carnivora; Ursidae.